UACAGAGGUCUCAAGCGUUGUUCGGAUUCAUUGGGCGUAAAGGGUGCGUAGGCGGCGCGGUAAGUCGGGUGUGAAAUCUCGGAGCUUAACUCCGAAACUGCAUUCGAUACUGCCGUGCUUGAGGACUGGAGAGGAGACUGGAAUUUACGGUGUAGCGGUGAAAUGCGUAGAUAUCGUAAGGAAGACCAGAGGCGAAGGCGGGUCUCUGGACAGUUCCUGACGCUGAGGCACGAAGGUCAGGGGAGCAAACGGG
RNAcentral lists this ribosomal RNA (253 nucleotides) under uncultured bacterium. RNAcentral's name for it is "partial 16S ribosomal RNA". It matches the Rfam family "Bacterial small subunit ribosomal RNA", at positions 524 to 776 of the family's 1533-position model. The record is from RNAcentral.